AAGCCAGACCUCACUCACGCUGGCUUGUCGAAGUUCGUGUCAGUGCAGACUUCGUGUUCGUGCCUUGCCUUCCUUGCCGAUUAUGGAGCAGAGACGCAAAUCAUCCGCCGUGUGGGACCAUUUUGAUGUCCUGGAGAAUAAGGUGAAAUGUCGAAUUUGCCAAGUCAAUUCGCCAACAGAAGCACCUCCACCAUGCUGAGGCAUUAUCGGGCCAAGCAUGAGAAUGAAGUUCGCGAUACACCCGGUAUUACGCCAGGUUCCAGGAAGCAGCUGUACUGGAAGGACCAACACAUUUCUUUCCCAAACCUCUCCCACCUCGCAAAGGAGUUCCUUUGUACACCAGCCU
This is a long non-coding RNA of Hippocampus zosterae (dwarf seahorse), 346 nucleotides long. RefSeq lists it as uncharacterized. The record is from RefSeq and is a predicted model, not a curated record. NCBI's taxonomy places the organism in Eukaryota, Metazoa, Chordata, Actinopteri, Syngnathiformes, Syngnathidae. The transcript is spliced from 3 exons.